Molecule: ribosomal RNA, 256 nt
Filed under: uncultured bacterium
Lineage: Bacteria
Description: partial 16S ribosomal RNA
Rfam family: Bacterial small subunit ribosomal RNA
Source: RNAcentral
GUCCACGCCGUAAACGAUGGAUACUAGCUGUUGGGGGCAACAUCAGUGGCUAAGCGAAAGUGAUAAGUAUCCCACCUGGGGAGUACGUUCGCAACAAUGAAACUCAAAGGAAUUGACGGGGGCCCCGCACAAGCGGUGGAGCAUGUGGUUUAAUUCGAUGAUACGCGAGGAACCUUACCAAGGCUUAAAUGUAGAUUGACCGGUUUGGAAACAGACUUUUCGCAAGACAAUUUACAAGGUGCUGCAUGGUUGUCGU